CACACACACACACACACACACCUCUUUUUCCUGGGAGCAAAAAACAGGUAAGCAUGACACAUCUGCAGCCUGAGUCCCCCCAUCUUCUCCAAGUUAACUCAUUGCUAAGUCCAAGGCCAAAGGGCCACCAUGUGGCAGUCCCGGGAUUUAAAACCAGGCUUUUCUGAUCCUGGUUGCCCCAGAUGAGGAACCCAAUUUAAUUCUAUCCUAAGAUCGGGGGCCAUCUCAUCACAAAGUUAAUUCCAAACUCACCCAUGUCUGGCUCUCCUUGACAGAUAACAACCCUCCCUAAAACUUCAGCGGGACCUCAUAAAUUCUGAUGUUGGAAUCUCGAUUUACUCCCUACCUUGAAAUGUUAAGCCACGUAGCUCAUUAACCUGCUAUCUGCCUUUGUAUUACGCUUGCCAGAACCCUGUUAUAAGUUCCCAAGACACCCCACUUUGUGCUAUAAAACCUUUCUCCUGGAGAGCUGGGAGGAUGUUCUCUAGCCCGGCUUUGGGUGAGACAGUCGCUGGCCAGCUCUCUCUGUGUACACAAUAUAAGCUUGCUUUAAUUUGAUUUAAAAUUGGAAUCAGUGGUCUUUUCUUUGUGUUGUGGUUCAACACAGAGAUGCUGGGGACUGAGAAAUAUAUAUAUAUUUUUUCUUUGGGGUACUGGGAUUGAACUCAGGAGUUUUCUAC
This 680-nucleotide long non-coding RNA is filed under the name Marmota monax (woodchuck). Lineage: Eukaryota; Metazoa; Chordata; Mammalia; Rodentia; Sciuridae. The record is from RNAcentral.